GUGGCGAGCAUUUUCAACAAUUUGCUGGAGCUUGUUACCUUCAAACUUAUCAUUUAAAAUCAUGCAUACUUCUCCAGCAACCGAUUGAGCCAAAUCAUUGACAAGAUCGUGCAUCACAAACUGCGAUUCCUCAAUGCUUGAUCUUUGAAAAAAUGACCUUGAUAGUAGUUCAUUAAAAUAAGAAUCAAACUCUUCCAUCUGCUUUUUUCCUCCUACUUGCGGCAGAAAACCCUCAGCCAUCCAU
Molecule: unclassified non-coding RNA, 244 nt
Filed under: Hevea brasiliensis (rubber tree)
Lineage: Eukaryota; Viridiplantae; Streptophyta; Magnoliopsida; Malpighiales; Euphorbiaceae
Source: RNAcentral